RNAcentral lists this ribosomal RNA (500 nucleotides) under uncultured bacterium. RNAcentral describes it as "partial 16S ribosomal RNA". It matches the Rfam family "Bacterial small subunit ribosomal RNA", at positions 30 to 523 of the family's 1533-position model. The record is from RNAcentral.
AUUGAACGCUGGCGGAAUGCUUUACACAUGCAAGUCGAACGGCAGCACGGACUUCGGUCUGGUGGCGAGUGGCGAACGGGUGAGUAAUGUAUCGGAACGUGCCCAGUCGUGGGGGAUAACGUAGUGAAAAUUACGCGAAUACCGCAUACGAUCUAUGGAUGAAAGCGGGGGAUCGCAAGACCUCGCGCGAUUGGAGCGGCCCAUAUCAGAUUAGGUAGUUGGUGGGGUAAAGGCCCACCAAGCCAACGAUCUGUAGCUGGUCUGAGAGGACGACCAGCCAAACUGGAACUGAGACACGGUCCAGACUCCUACGGGAGGCAGCAGUGGGGAAUUUUGGACAAUGGGCGAAAGCCUGAUCCAGCCAUUCCGCGUGCAGGAUGAAGGCCCUCGGGUUGUAAACUGCUUUUGUACAGAACGAAAAGGUUUCUACUAAUACUAGGAGCUCAUGACGGUACUGUAAGAAUAAGCACCGGCUAACUACGUGCCAGCCGCCGCAGUAA